ACCUUGGGCGAUGUGGUCAGCACGUUUGGCUCUUGCCCGGGAGUCUGGGGUUCAAUUCCCCGCCAGGGCC
Gymnothorax javanicus (giant moray) is the source of this 70-nucleotide non-coding RNA. Lineage: Eukaryota; Metazoa; Chordata; Actinopteri; Anguilliformes; Muraenidae. The record is from the annotation of a GenBank genome assembly.